Molecule: long non-coding RNA, 231 nt
Filed under: Struthio camelus australis
Lineage: Eukaryota; Metazoa; Chordata; Aves; Struthioniformes; Struthionidae
Description: lncRNA (ENSSCUG00000016118.1)
Source: RNAcentral
GGGGACACACUCGAGUGAACUAAAGCUUCUCUCUUCCUUUCUCAGGAUUCUUUCCAAAGGAAAACAGGGUGGGCUGGAGGUGCUGUAGACUUCACAAGGUCUGACAUGGCCCAAGAGGGAGCAUGGCUAUGCUGUAUACCUGAUUCGGAGAUCAAAACGCUUUUGCUGGCUGUUUAAUCAAGACAAUCUUGGACUGCAGUAAUUACCGGUUUGAUGGCAUCUUAACAACAG